CAGGAAGAACUCUGCAGAGCCAGUGACAAGCCCCUCACGAGUUCCAAGUUAGAGCUCUGAGUGGCCCUUUCAACAUGGCGCCAUGUGGAGACCACAACGGCAGACACAGCACUUCUGGCCCUGUUGGAACUCAACAUGCAGGUUAAUCUCUACUUUCCUGAAACAGCUUCCUCCCCAGCCAUCCGCCCUGCAUUUCUGCCUUUUUCCUUUCCGUGGCACCUUGAACCCAGACCACCUUUCUCAUUACAACCAGAUCGCUGCACUCUAUUCCUGUGCGCUGUUGAACAGAAUCCAUGACCACUGUCUAGUUGAGGGACUUUCUUCCCAAAGCUGCAAAUGAGGGGCUAGCGCAGCUGCGAAAGACUCGCGCAGCCUGCUAAAGAGAUUUUCUGUAAGUGGCCCACAAAGUGGUGUGUACCUUCCGAUCUUCUUCUCUCCUUCAUUAAACGCCGGCCAAAGAACUUUCCCUCAUGCCUGUUCCUGGCAGCCAAACCUCCAGCAUCUCACAUUGAUUUCCUUGCUAAAAAUACCCAGCUUCUCACUCCAUGGGGAAGAAAAAUGCAACAUUGUCCUGUUCCACAUGCUCCCUACAGGCUGACGCGGGCUCGGAUCAAUUCAUCAUUGCUAGUGCAUUUGGGUUUUAAUUUCUCUCUCACAAAACUCAUCUUGUUUAUCUGGUGGACACUGUGACAAGCAGCAGAUACAUCCAGACCUCAGCAUCCAUCCACAUACUCCAUAUCUGUGUGAGAGGAGGAUGGACGGUGCCAGCUAGAAACCCUCUUUAGGACAAUAGAAAAUUAUCUGAAAUUUCUGGAAGGGUUUCAUGAGUGGGGCCUUGCAGGUCACAGCAGUUCUAGAAGGUUUGUGCAUCAUUACACGGACCAACUGAUGGAAUGGUGUCUACUUGGCUGGUUUUUCUGCUGGCUAUGCAUAUUUUGUUGCAUGUUUUAUUUUAUCUCAAGGUGCUGCUGUGCUCAGGAGUAUGAUGUCAAUGAAAGUCUCUGGGAGGGGACAGCAAAGUGUCACAGAAAGAAAACACAGUGCCUGCUGUUCAGAGAAGCUCUAACUCUGCCACACCCAUCUAGAUAACCAUAGGCAGGUGAUCCAUUUGGAUUCUGUGGCUUUCCUUCUCCUUGAGAUUAGAACAACACUCUCCCUGCAAUAAUUGAAGAAC
This is a long non-coding RNA of Heterocephalus glaber (naked mole-rat), 1174 nucleotides long. The record is from Ensembl. NCBI's taxonomy places the organism in Eukaryota, Metazoa, Chordata, Mammalia, Rodentia, Bathyergidae.